Molecule: ribosomal RNA, 260 nt
Filed under: uncultured bacterium
Lineage: Bacteria
Description: partial 16S ribosomal RNA
Rfam family: Bacterial small subunit ribosomal RNA
Source: RNAcentral
UAGGCCUACGGGAGGCAGCAGUGAGGAAUAUUGGUCAAUGGGCGCGAGCCUGAACCAGCCAAGUCGCGUGAGGGAAGACGGUCCUAUGGAUUGUAAACCUCUUUUGUCGGGGAGCAAAAGACGCCACGCGUGGCGUUCCGAGAGUACCCGAAGAAAAAGCAUCGGCUAACUCCGUGCCAGCAGCCGCGGUAAUACGUAGGUGGCAAGCGUUGUCCGGAUUUAUUGGGCGUAAAGCGAGUGCAGGCGGUUCCAAAAGUCUG